This 309-nucleotide ribosomal RNA is filed under the name uncultured bacterium. RNAcentral's name for it is "partial 16S ribosomal RNA". It matches the Rfam family "Bacterial small subunit ribosomal RNA", at positions 355 to 681 of the family's 1533-position model. The record is from RNAcentral.
UGGGGAAUAUUGGACAAUGGGGGCAACCCUGAUCCAGCAAUGCCGCGUGUGUGAAGAAGGUUUUCGGAUUGUAAAGCACUUUCGGCGGGGACGAUGAUGACGGUACCCGCAGAAGAAGCCCCGGCUAACUUCGUGCCAGCAGCCGCGGUAAUACGAAGGGGGCUAGCGUUGCUCGGAAUGACUGGGCGUAAAGGGCGUGUAGGCGGUUUGUACAGUCAGAUGUGAAAUCCCCGGGCUUAACCUGGGAGCUGCAUUUGAGACGUGCAGACUAGAGUGUGAGAGAGGGUUGUGGAAUUCCCAGUGUAGAGG